This is an RNA transcript of Neofelis nebulosa (Clouded leopard), 1838 nucleotides long. It is a transcript of the gene named NFAT activating protein with ITAM motif 1, with no coding region annotated. The record is from RefSeq and is a predicted model, not a curated record. Lineage: Eukaryota; Metazoa; Chordata; Mammalia; Carnivora; Felidae. The transcript has 7 exons.
UAGUUUUGCCCUUCGGUAUGUGUUCCUGAAUGGUAUAGACUGGACUUGCCUGGUGUUGAACUUUGUAUGAUCAGAACGAUACCGUAUAUUCUUUUGUGACCUGCUUCUUUCGCUCCAAGUUAUGCUUCUUAAGAUAUAUCUAGUUGACGCUGUGGCUGUGGUUUGUUUAUUUUCAUUGCUAGCGAGCAGGGAUCACAAGCAAAGGCCCCAGGGCUAAAUCCAGCCCGCUGCCUUUUGGCCUGCGAGGCGUGAGUGGUCUUUCUGGUUUUUAACGGUUGGAAGGAAAUCGAAAGAAGACCAUGUCGUGACACGUGAAGAUUAUACAAUAGUCACAUGCCAGUGUCCAUAAAUAAAGUUUUAUCGGAACAAACCACACUCAUUCAUUCGUCGAUCGCCUGUGACCGCUGUCACCCUACGUCGGCAGCGUUGAAUAGUUGCGAGAGAGACCAUCUGGCCCACAAGGUGUAAGAUGUUUACUCUCUGGCCCUUUACGGAGCACGUCCGCCAGCCCCCGCUGUGGAGCGUCCCAUUGGAUGAACUCACUGCAAGUCAGUUAUGAUCGACACGUCACGCGCUUCCUGUCUGUGGCUGUGAACACUCACGUGUGGUCUCCGGCCCUUGUGUGUUCAGUGCUUCCAGGGGACACGUUCCCGUUAAGGCUGCUUCUUUCCAAGAGGACUGUGAGCUUCGGGGGGCUGGAAAACGUGCGGACUUUCGUGGGUCGAAUCCUCGACCCCCAGCACGGUGCCUGGUACCCGGGGGAUAUGCCGGAGAUACCACAGCAGGAAGGACUCAAGUCCUCAGCCACAGACAACCCCGGGAGGCGGUCCAAGAAGGCUGGGUGGAGACGUGAUGCCUCCAGGAGAGGGAGCUGGGUCCAGGGGCAGGAGGUGGGCCCCGGGCUCCUCAGCGCAGGAGGACAGUUGGUGACCCACAUCGGCGCCCCCAUCAUGGUCUCUCUGGCCAACGAGGCCAUCUCCUUUGGCUGCAAAAUCUCCUACCCGCACAGCCCCGAACUGAAGAACUUCACAGCCUGGUACUUUCACGUGGACCUUCAGAGUCAGAGGAGCUCUGAGAAGCAGAUCAACUGCUCAUCCCACCCGGUCAAAGAGAACCGGACGCACAGCCUGAAAUGCUGGGUCACGCCCCAGCUGCCCAAUGCGUCAGCCACCGGUACCUACUACUGCUCCGUGCACUGGCCAGACUUGAUAAGAAUCAGCCAAGGAAUCUUCAUCCUGGUCAGAGACACAGGGUACCAAGAGCCCCCACAGGGCGCCCAGAAGCUUCUGCUCUUUUGCUUCACGGGCCUCCUGACCCUCCUGAGCAUCUUGGUCACGGCUCUGCUCCUCUGGAAGAAGGGACAGAUGCGGGCUCCCCCGAAGCACCUGGACCCCGGCACCGCCCACGGCCAGGAGCAGCCUGUGGCCGAAUCCAUCUACACAUCUCUACAGGGCAGAGACACUGAAGUCUACUCCUGCAUCCAGACCGUGCCCAGCAGCCUGCCCCCCAAACCAGAGCUUUGUCUCCCAGCGUUUCCCCCCUACCGGAAAUCUGAUGGGCUUAUGACAUCAUGGCUGGCUGCUGAGCGAUGAAGUGGAUGCCACAAAGAAAUCCGACAUAUCAGAUGGAUUCUGAAAUCAGUUUCCCUCUGGCUGCGGUAACAGGCGUGAAGUCAGGAGAAUCAAACAGACCUUUUGGACAUCAUCCGAUUUUAAUAAAGACGCUGGCGUGUAUGAAAUGAAAGCGGCUAAUAAAUCAGACCUGAAGCUGCCUGUGAACAUUCCCUUUUGGCUGAGUUUUUGUGUGUCCUUCUUCACUAAUAAAAGAGGAACUGGGAA